This 1112-nucleotide long non-coding RNA is filed under the name Parus major (Great Tit). RNAcentral's name for it is "lncRNA (ENSPMJG00000010865.1)". The record is from RNAcentral. Lineage: Eukaryota; Metazoa; Chordata; Aves; Passeriformes; Paridae.
UUUUAUUGUUAGAUAAGGACAAAAAAAAUACUAAAAAAAAAAGGCAUCAGUGACUUUCUCACCGGUGCCCUAACACUCUGAAGGUACAUAGACACAGGAAUGUUCCAGCCGGUUUGUUGCUAAUCGAAAACGAGUGGUUUUUGGGUUAACCACCUUGAGGCAGGGUUACCUGGCCGAGCAGCCCUGUGUCCCUGUGCGCGGAGGGGAGCGCAGCCGCGUCCCGCGGGCGCCCUGUGCCCUCUGCCGGCGGCACCUCCGGGAGAAGGCAGGCGGGAGAGGAAACAGAGAGGGGAAAAAACACAAGUAAGAAAAAGAGCGAUUUGUCAACGUACUAUUUUCCAUGCGCCCCGCAUGCCACCUCUGGUGUUGCCUGAAUUCCCGCUGCCCCCUCUCGUCUGACCUCCAGCCCCUGUAACGCAGUGGGAACUCAGCUCUCUGCUCAGGAACCUCUUCUGCCUCUGCUGCACAAUUUCACUGGAAUGCCUCGGACGUUUUUCAGGCAGCGAUAUCCCUUUCUUUCCCCCCAUACCCAAUAUGUAACACAGCCUGCCUCGGGUACGUUUUCACAGAUUUUCUAUCAGGUCCUCAGGUGCAAAAUCCACAUGGACUCCUUUGUCUCCUGCACUCCUGGUCUUCACAAGAAGAGGUCCCAACUCUUUCUGUUUCCCUAAAGAUCUUUCUAAAGAUAUGUGCUGAUUUAUUGGAAUCAUCCUUUCGCUGUGACGUGCAGGAUCAGUAAUGAGCUACACUGAAACAUGAAGCUGGAUAUUAAACAUAGCACUUCCCAAAAAAAUAUGCAAUUCCUGUGAUGAUAUAAACCCAAGCUUUAUUUCUUACUACUUGUAUAGAUUGAAACAAAUGUCAUUUUAUUUUUAGAGGUGUACUGCUCUACUGCAGCUCUUCUGAAGUAAUGUUGGAGGUUUACUACAGCAAGUCAUGGUUGCUGAAGAUGGGCACCUUUACAUUUAAGAACGUGAUGUUCUGUUUUUGCACACUUAGAGUAACUUUUUAAACCUUUAGAAUUGUUUAGUAGUAUGUGCCUUUGUAACUGGGUUCUGUGGGUGGUACCUGUUGGAAAUAAAUUGCCUGAAGAGUUUUAUUAAGAGAAAACA